Molecule: ribosomal RNA, 357 nt
Filed under: uncultured bacterium
Lineage: Bacteria
Description: bacterial SSU rRNA
Rfam family: Bacterial small subunit ribosomal RNA
Source: RNAcentral
AAUGAACGCUGGCGGCGCGCCUAAUACAUGCAAGUCGAGCGAGAAGACGUAGCAAUACGUUUGUAAAGCGGCGAACGGGUGAGGAAUACAUGGGUAACCUACCCUAGAGUGGGGAAUAACUAGCCGAAAGGUUAGCUAAUACCGCGUACGCUCCUUGGACUUCGGUUCAGGGAGGAAAGCGAUGCCGAGGGUAUCGCGCUCUUGGAUGGGCUCAUGUCCUAUCAGCUGUUGGUGAGGUAACGGCUCACCAAGGCUUCGACGGGUAGCUGGUCUGAGAGGACGAUCAGCCACACUGGCACUGCGACACGGGCCAGACUCCUACGGGAGGCAGCAGUAAGGAAUAUUGCGCAAUGGGCG